AUUUAAGUAGCUUAUAGUUAGAGCAUAACACUGAAGAUGUUAAGGAAGUAGAAUUAUUCUUAAGUA
This 66-nucleotide transfer RNA is filed under the name Elimaea cheni. RNAcentral's name for it is "tRNA-Phe". It matches the Rfam family "tRNA". From Rfam's summary of the family: Transfer RNA (tRNA) molecules are approximately 80 nucleotides in length. Their secondary structure includes four short double-helical elements and three loops (D, anti-codon, and T loops). Further hydrogen bonds mediate the characteristic L-shaped molecular structure. tRNAs have two regions of fundamental functional importance: the anti-codon, which is responsible for specific mRNA codon recognition, and the 3' end, to which the tRNAs corresponding amino acid is attached (by aminoacyl-tRNA synthetases). tRNAs cope with the degeneracy of the genetic code in two manners: having more than one tRNA (with a specific anti-codon) for a particular amino acid; and 'wobble' base-pairing, i.e. permitting non-standard base-pairing at the 3rd anti-codon position. Lineage: Eukaryota; Metazoa; Arthropoda; Insecta; Orthoptera; Tettigoniidae. The record is from RNAcentral.